UAAGAUUGAGAACAGAAGGCUGGAUAAGA
Molecule: non-coding RNA, 29 nt
Filed under: Cricetulus griseus (Chinese hamster)
Lineage: Eukaryota; Metazoa; Chordata; Mammalia; Rodentia; Cricetidae
Source: RNAcentral